GUGAGGAAUAUUGCGCAAUGGAGGCAACUCUGACGCAGCCAUGCCGCGUGCAGGAAGAAGGCGCUACGCGUUGUAAACUGCUUUUAACCGGGAAGAAACCCCAGGACGUGUCCUGGGUUGACGGUACCGGAGGAAUAAGCACCGGCUAACUUCGUGCCAGCAGCCGCGGUAAUACGAAGGGUGCAAGCGUUAUCCGGCUUCAUUGGGUUUAAAGGGUGAGUAGGCGGAGCGUUACGUCAGUGGUGAAAUCCUGCAGCUUAACUGUAGACUUGCCAUUGAUACUGGCGCUCUUGAGUGCGCUUGAAGUGGGCGGAAUGUGCCGUGUAGCGGUGAAAUGCUUAGAUAUGGCACAGAACACCAAUUGCGAAGGCAGCUCACUAAGGCGAUACUGACGCUGAGGCACGAAAGCGUGGGGAUCGAACAGGAUUAGAUACCCUUGUAGUCC
RNAcentral lists this ribosomal RNA (445 nucleotides) under uncultured bacterium. RNAcentral's name for it is "partial 16S ribosomal RNA". It matches the Rfam family "Bacterial small subunit ribosomal RNA", at positions 354 to 796 of the family's 1533-position model. The record is from RNAcentral.